GGAGUUAGCCGGUGCUUCUUCUGCGAGUAACGUCACAGAUGUAAGGUAUUAACUUACACCCUUUCCUCCUCGCUGAAAGUGCUUUACAACCCGAAGGCCUUCUUCACACACGCGGCAUGGCUGCAUCAGGGUUUCCCCCAUUGUGCAAUAUUCCCCACUGCUGCCUCCCGUAGGAGUCUGGGCCGUGUCUCAGUCCCAGUGUGGCUGAUCAUCCUCUCAGACCAGCUAGGGAUCGUCGCCUAGGUGAGCCUUUACCUCACCUACUAGCUAAUCCCACCUGGGCUUAUCCAUCAGCGCAAGGCCCGAAGGUCCCCUGCUUUCCCCCGUAGGGCGUAUGCGGUAUUAGCAGUCGUUUCCAACUGUUAUCCCCCACAAAUGGGCAAAUUCCCAGGCAUUACUCACCCGUCCGCCGCUCGUCAUCUUCAAAAGCAAGCUUUUGAAAUGUUACCGCUCGACUUGCAUGUGUUAGGCCUGCCGCCAGCGUUCAAUCUGAGCCAGAGANAACAACUCGACACGUAGACGGCGGUGCGACGACGGCGACUAGUG
RNAcentral lists this ribosomal RNA (546 nucleotides) under uncultured bacterium. RNAcentral's name for it is "partial 16S ribosomal RNA". The record is from RNAcentral.